GAUAUAUGGUCAAGUGAAUAAGGGCAUACGGUGGAUGCCUUGGCGGAAACAGGCGAUGAAGGACGUGGGUACCUGCGAAAAGCCUCGGGGAGCUGGUAAACGAGCGGUGAUCCGGGGAUGUCCGAAUGGGGAAACCCAACCCGAGGGAUCGGGUUAUUGCCACUGGAAUACAUAAGGUGGCAAGGCGAACGCGGUGAACUGAAACAUCUCAGUAGCUGCAGGAACAGAAACCAACCGAGAUUCCCCCAGUAGCGGCGAGCGAACGGGGAGGAGCCAUCACGAUGUAGCCACGGACUUAGGAGAACGCUCUGGGAAGGGCGGCCGUAGUGGGUGAGAGCCCCGUAUCCGAAAAGUUGGUGGUGGAACUAGGCGUGAGACAAGUAGGGCGGGACACGUGGAAUCCUGUCUGAAGAUGGGGGGACCAUCCUCCAAGGCUAAAUACUCGUUUCCGACCGAUAGUGAACCAGUACCGUGAGGGAAAGGCGAAAAGAACCCCGGAGAGGGGAGUGAAAUAGAUCCUGAAACCGUAUGCCUACAAGCAGUGGGAGCCCCUACGGGGGUGACUGCGUACCUUUUGUAUCAUGGGUCAGCGACUUACUUUCUGUGGCGAGCUUAACCGAAGAGGGGAGGCGUAGGGAAACCGAGUCUGAAUAGGGCGACAGUCGCAGGGAGUAGACCCGAAACCGGACGAUCUAUCCAUGGUCAGGAUGAAGGUGGGGUAAUGCCCACUGGAGGUCCGAACCCACGCCCGUUGAAAAGGUCGGGGAUGAACUGUGGAUAGGAGUGAAAGGCUAAACAAGUCCGGAGAUAGCUGGUUCUCCCCGAAAGCUAUUGAGGUAGCGCGUCGCGUAGUACUGCCGGGGGUAGAGCACUGUUACGGCUAGGGGGCUGUCACGGCUUACCAACCCGUUGCAAACUCCGAAUACCGGCACGUAGCGCGCGGCAGACAGACGGCGGGUGCUAACGUCCGUCGUCAAGAGGGAUGAAAACCCAGACCGCCAGCUAAGGUCCCCAAAUAUGGCUCAGUGGGAAACGAUGUGGGAAGGCACAGACAGCUAGGAGGUUGGCUUAGAAGCAGCCAUCCUUUAAAGAAAGCGUAAUAGCUCACUAGUCGAGUCGGCCUGCGCGGAAGAUUUAACGGGGCUCAAGCCAUAUACCGAAGCUGCGGGUGUGUUCUUCGGAACGCGCGGUAGGGGAGCGUUCGGUAAGCCGGUGAAGGUGUGUCGGAAGGCAUGCUGGAGGUAUCCGAAGUGCGAAUGCUGAC
RNAcentral lists this ribosomal RNA (1264 nucleotides) under Acidithiobacillus caldus. RNAcentral's name for it is "bacterial LSU rRNA". It matches the Rfam family "Bacterial large subunit ribosomal RNA", at positions 1 to 1301 of the family's 2925-position model. The record is from RNAcentral. Lineage: Bacteria; Pseudomonadati; Pseudomonadota; Acidithiobacillia; Acidithiobacillales; Acidithiobacillaceae.